AUACGUAGGGUGCAAGCGUUAAUCGGAAUUACUGGGCGUAAAGCGUGCGCAGGCGGUUUUGUAAGACAGUGGUGAAAUCCCCGGGCUCAACCUGGGAACUGCCAUUGUGACUGCAAGGCUGGAGUGCGGCAGAGGGGGAUGGAAUUCCGGGUGUAGCAGUGAAAUGCGUAGAUAUGCGGAGGAACACCGAUGGCGAAGGCAAUCCCCUGGGCCUGCACUGACGCUCAUGCACGAAAGCGUGGGGAGCAAACAGGUUUAGAUACCCUGGUAGUCCACGCCCUAAACGAUGUCAACUGGUUGUUGGGGAUUUAUUUUCUCAGUAACGAAGCUAACGCGUGAAGUUGACCGCCUGGGGAGUACGGCCGCAAGGUUAAAACUCAAAUGAAUUGACGGGG
Molecule: ribosomal RNA, 395 nt
Filed under: uncultured bacterium
Lineage: Bacteria
Description: partial 16S ribosomal RNA
Rfam family: Bacterial small subunit ribosomal RNA
Source: RNAcentral